CCUACGGGGGGCUGCAGUGGGGAAUAUUGCACAAUGGGCGCAAGCCUGAUGCAGCAACGCCGCGUGAGGGAUGACGGCCUUCGGGUUGUAAACCUCUUUUAGUAGGGAAGAAGCGAAAGUGACGGUACCUGCAGAAAAAGCACCGGCUAACUACGUGCCAGCAGCCGCGGUAAUACGUAGGGUGCGAGCGUGGUCCGGAAUUAUUGGGCGUAAAGAGCUCGUAGGCGGUCUGUCGCGUCUGCUGUGAAAACCCGAGGCUCAACCUCGGGCCUGCAGUGGGUACGGGCAGACUAGAGUGCGGUAGGGGAGAAUGGAAUUCCUGGUGUAGCGGUGGAAUGCGCAGAUAUCAGGAGGAACACCGAUGGCGAAGGCAGUUCUCUGGGCCGUAACUGACGCUGAGGAGCGAAAGCGUGGGGAGCGAACAGGAUUAGAUACCCGGGUAGUC
RNAcentral lists this ribosomal RNA (445 nucleotides) under uncultured bacterium. RNAcentral describes it as "partial 16S ribosomal RNA". It matches the Rfam family "Bacterial small subunit ribosomal RNA", at positions 338 to 795 of the family's 1533-position model. The record is from RNAcentral.